CCUGCUCAAUGAUAAAUUUAAAUAGCCGCAGUUUUACUGUGCUAAGGUAGCAUAAUAACUUGCUUUUCAAAUGAAAGAUAGAAUGAAAGGUUAAACGAUAAACUAUUAUUUCAUAGGAUAUAAUAAAACUAAUUAUGAAGUUAAAAAGCUUCAAUAAGCUAAUAAGACGACAAGACCCUAAUAAACUUAUAAAUUUAGUUGGGGCAACAAAAUAAAAAUACUUUAUUUUAAUAUAAAAAAUUGAACUUCUACAACUAAUUAUAUACUCAGUUACUAUAGGGAUAACAGCGCAAUUUCUUUCAAGAGUUCAUAUUUAAAAAGAAUUUUACGACCUCGAUGUUGAAUUAAUUAAUCUAUAAGGCGCAAAAGCUUUAUAAGUUAGUCUGUUCGACUAAUAAUAAAUUACAU
This 408-nucleotide ribosomal RNA is filed under the name Belisana sp. 2 FL-2018. RNAcentral describes it as "partial 16S ribosomal RNA". It matches the Rfam family "Bacterial large subunit ribosomal RNA", at positions 1858 to 2601 of the family's 2925-position model. Lineage: Eukaryota; Metazoa; Arthropoda; Arachnida; Araneae; Pholcidae. The record is from RNAcentral.